GGCCGACUAGCUCAGUUGGUUAGAGCGUCGUGCUAAUACCCUCUAUUAACGCGAAGGUCUUGGGUUCGAUCCCCACGUUGGCCA
Molecule: non-coding RNA, 84 nt
Organism: Marasmius sp. AFHP31
Lineage: Eukaryota; Fungi; Basidiomycota; Agaricomycetes; Agaricales; Marasmiaceae
Source: the annotation of a GenBank genome assembly